Molecule: long non-coding RNA, 1085 nt
Filed under: Parus major (Great Tit)
Lineage: Eukaryota; Metazoa; Chordata; Aves; Passeriformes; Paridae
Description: lncRNA (ENSPMJG00000000302.1)
Source: RNAcentral
UCUGCAAUUUCUGUUUAUUUCUGUUUAUUGCUUUUUUUUUUUUUUCUUUCUUUCUUUCCUGGCUGGACAACAAAUGUUACACCUAACAUUUCAAGUUUAAAGAGUACAAGCUGUUCUUGUAAUGAUCACUGCAUUUAGAGAAAAGCAUUGAAUCUGACAGAUUUGUGUAAGAAACGAGUUUUGUAGUUAAGUGUUUUGUGUUUCUUUAUCUUUGUGCUUACAAUAUCAGUAAUAUAUUUUGCUUGAGUUCUAAAAAUAUAGCCUUUUGGAUUCAGUGGUUAAUGAAAACAGAGUAUUAUACCAUGAAAGGUGACCUAUUGAAGGCAGAGUGCUAAUAAGUUGCAGAUUGUUCAACAUGACCUAAACCCUUUUUUUAUUGAAAAUGAGAUCUACAAAGGUACUUUGUAACAUGUUUCAUAAGGUCUUAAUUUUGCCCAGCACUAACAGGGCCAUUAAAGCUACUUAGAAUCUGGAUUACAAGAAAACAAGGAUAUUUGUCUUCUCUUUUACCUUUUUCUGAAAGUAAAAAUGCAUGCCUUGCAUACUGCCUUAAGAUGUUUUCUAAAGAAACAAAAGAAACUUGCUAAAACCUCCUCUCUGGGGGGAGAUUUACAGAGAAGAAGGCAGGGCCAGGGGGGCAGAGGAUGAGCUGUGGAACUGACUUCCUUUUUUACCAUUAAUUAUGGUUGAUUGUGCAACUCACAAGAGGCCUAAUGGGCACUCUCCUCGUGCAGAUAAGUGGAUGGCAAUGGAGCAGACACAAAAUCCUACACCUCCAUCCCCUGCCUUCAUACCAAAGCAGUUGCAUUUCGCAGUUUCACCCACGCCACAGACUCCUGCAGAAAAGCAGUAGUUACCUCCUCCUCAGCCCGAGACUGGCACCUGCUCCUCAGCACAGCUGACACAAAUCUUGGUCAGCACGAUUCCAUCCUCAGGACAGCACAAGAGCAGCUGUGUGCCUGGUGGCUUGCUUACUCCAGGAAAGAUGUGCAGCUGAGCAGGGAUUUAAGGCAGACUGUUGACUGUCAGGCCUCUGCUCUAACCUCUAGAGCACACUCCAUAAAUGUUUGAAUAUUUAAUAAAAU